RNAcentral lists this ribosomal RNA (442 nucleotides) under uncultured bacterium. RNAcentral describes it as "partial 16S ribosomal RNA". It matches the Rfam family "Bacterial small subunit ribosomal RNA", at positions 338 to 795 of the family's 1533-position model. The record is from RNAcentral.
CCUACGGGCGGCAGCAGUGGGGAAUAUUGGGCAAUGGACGCAAGUCUGACCCAGCAACGCCGCGUGAAGGAAGAAGGCUUUCGGGUUGUAAACUUCUUUUAAGGGGGAAGAGCAGAAGACGGUACCCCUGGAAUAAGCCACGGCUAACUACGUGCCAGCAGCCGCGGUAAUACGGCGGUGGCAAGCGUUGUCCGGAUUUACUGGGUGUAAAGGGCGUGCAGCCGGGAAGACAAGUCAGAUGGGAAAUCCCGCGGCUCAACCGCGGAACUGCAUUUGAAACUGUUUUUCUUGAGUAUCGGAGAGGUAAUCGGAAUUCCUAGUGUAGCGGUGAAAUGCGUAGAUAUUAGGAAGAACACCAGUGGCGAAGGCGGCUUACUGGACUGUAAAUGACGCUGAGGCUCGAACGCGUGGGGAGCAAACAGGAUUAGAUACCCUAGUAGUC